CCCCUAGUACUGCGAGUGAAGCGGGAAAAGCUCAAAUUUAAAAUCUGGUGGUCUCUGGACCACCCGAGUUGUAGUCUGGAGAAGUGCCUUCUGUGCUGGACCGUGUACAAGUCUCCUGGAAUGGAGCGUCAUARAGGGUGARAAUCCCGUCUUUGACACGGAUGACCCAGUGCUCUGUGAUGUGCUCUCAAAAAGUCAAGUUGUUUGGGAAUGCAGCUCAAAAUGGGUGGUGAAUUCCAUCUAAAGCUAAAUAUUGGCAAGAGACCGAUAGCGAACAAGUACCGUGAGGGAAAGAUGAAAAGCACUUUGGAAAGARAGUUAAACAGUACGUGAAAUUGUUGAAAGGGAAACGCUUGAAGUCAGUCACGUCUGCCUGAACUCAGCCUUGCAACCUUUGCUUGGUGUACUUUCUGGUGGUCGGGCCACCAUCAAUUUUGACUGUCGGAUAAAGGCAAAGGAAAUGUGGCACCUUUGGGUGUGUUAUAGUCCCUUGUCGCAGGCAAUGGUUGGRAUUGAGGAACUCACCAUGCCCUUGUUGGCCGGGGCUUUGCCCACGUCCAUGCUUAGGAUGCUGGCAUAAUGGCUUUAAGCGACCCGUCUUGAAACACGGACCAAGGAGUCUAACAKGCCCGCGAGUGUUUGGGUGGAAAAAACCCAUGCGCAAAUGAAAGUGAAAGUUUGGGACCUCUGUCAUGGAGGGCACUGAA
This 707-nucleotide ribosomal RNA is filed under the name Amylosporus guaraniticus. RNAcentral's name for it is "LSU rRNA". It matches the Rfam family "Eukaryotic large subunit ribosomal RNA", at positions 77 to 762 of the family's 3401-position model. The record is from RNAcentral. Lineage: Eukaryota; Fungi; Basidiomycota; Agaricomycetes; Russulales; Wrightoporiaceae.